This is a long non-coding RNA of Astatotilapia calliptera (eastern happy), 2450 nucleotides long. Lineage: Eukaryota; Metazoa; Chordata; Actinopteri; Cichliformes; Cichlidae. The record is from Ensembl.
UGUGAAUGUGGGCUGCCUGUUACCGGAGCACACUUUGCUCCCAUCCCCCAUCAACACUGAGCAAUGGCGGCUACCCUUUUUUGCGUGCCGCUUUGUCCUUCUCAGUUCAGCUUGUAAAAGCCAUGUGUACAAAAGUCGGUAAGGAAAAUACGUGUUUGCCCUUGUGUUUCAUAAGAAUGCGCGUCAGUUCAUGAGCACAUUAUAAUUAUUUUCCGCACUUCUCUCAUCGCAUGUCUUUUAUGUCGCACUGCUUUUUUUCCCUCCUCCACGGCGGGGCAUUUCUCUGUGGGUCCUAACAAUGGAGGCGGAGGAAAUGAGCCACCAGCACUGUUCACUGCACCCGCUCACUGAGCCCGAACAGCCCGAAUCACGGCGUCAGAGCCGGCUGUGUGUGUGUUGUUCGACGGGCACUGUGUUUAUUUGUGUCUCGACCUUGGCGCACGAAUUUAUGGGCUGUUAUGUAAAAAAAAAAAAAAAGCCCUCAAGAGUGUCAAGUGCGCACAUACAGGGAUGAGUUUCAAACAUGGACGUCGGGAAGGGGCGGGGCGACGAAGAGCUGCGAUGUGACAUGGCGGCGCCGCUCCACAUUUACACUCUGAGCGCCUUGUAUCUGACUGAUGUUGUUCACAUGGAGCUUGAGAUGUGACACUAACUUUUGGGGAGAAAAGCCCGAUUUAAUCCGUAAUAACAUCCGUGUCGUCCACGUUUCCCUCCCAAACACUUCGCCUCUAUUCCCCCGUCGCGGCGGUGGGCGGGAGAAACCGUCUGAAGUCGCCGCUUGACUCGUCCAGACGCACAUCAAUCAAUCAAAGUGACACUACGUCAACCGAAGCGCUCUCGAUUCGACAUAUUUACUGCGUAACUCGACGGAAACUCGAUUUUCUUGCGCUCACGGUGCUGUGGAGCUGCCACGGUUCCGGCUCCGGUCCGUUUUGUGGGCUUUUAUCGACUCUGAUUAUUGUUUUAGGGGAGAAAGGGACGGUUGCAGCGAUAGAAUAGGAGGGGGCGUGGCCUUUGGGUUAAGAAAUCCUAUCCAUUGUUACUCUACGCGCUAGGAGAACACCUCUGCCGAGCCUCUGGCCAAUCAGAGACCACCGACCUCAUGAAGACCCCGCCCACAAGCCUAUAUUAAAGGCUCGGCCGUCAGAAGCAUUGGCCACUGGCACAAUAUAAUACUGAUUGAUCCGCUAACCGAGACGAGGGGAUUUACUUUAUUCAACCUUUCAUUUCAGCCGUCCUUUAUUUUAUUCUACUAAACAAUGGCAGACACACAGGUCGACUCCGGCUCGGAUAUCUCUGCCAAGGACCUGAAAGAGAAGAAGCUGGUGGAGGAGAAGGAGAACGGCAAAGACGCCGCCACCAAUGGGAAGGAGAAUGAAGAGAACGGUGAGCCCGAGGUAGAUGACGAGGAGGACGAGGAGGUGGACGAGGAAGAAGAGGAAGAUGAUGGAGAAGGUGAUGAGGAAGAUGAGGAGGAGGACGACGACGAGAUUGAGGGUGGCACAAAACGGGCAGCUGAGGAUGACGAGGACGACGACGAGGACGACGUCGAAACCAAGAAGCAGAAAACCGACGAUGACGAUUGAUGCGUUUCCCCCGCGCCAUCCUGCUGAACCACUUCCUGAUUCUUCACCUCUGACCAUUUUUCUAUGUCGCAGUUUCUCUCUCGGCAGCGAUCCCGUCAGACCAAAUCGGUGCUUCUCUAACGAAAGAUUUUACUUGGUUGACCAUGUUACGAUAUCUCAACAGAUCUUAGAAAAACGUGUAAAAAAAUAAAAUGAAUAAAAACAUGAAAGACAACCUCUUAAGCCGUUGAACUCAGAGCAUUCCAGUAAAUUUAAUGUAUGUACUUUAGCUGUACCAUAACUAGUUUGUUUGUAUGGGAGGGUAAGGCCAAAGAAAAGAGCCUCUUUUCUUUUUCCUUUCUUUUGGUUUUUUUUCUUUUGGUUUUGUUUUUGUCAGCGACUUUUUGUUUUAUGACGGCCUGUUUUGAUGUAUGUGCAAAGUUUGUUGUUUGACAAUAAACCGGACUUUUAUUUUGUGAGUUGUACUUUGUAUCUCUGCCCCUUUUUAUUUGUGCUUUGCUCUCCUGUGAGGAAGAGGAAGCAGUGCAGGUAAACCUGAGGUCUGCUUUUACUUUAGGGUCACAACAGCGAGGAGGUGGGUCCAGCACAUCUUAUUGGACAUUUUACACUCAUUACAUCCAUAUAAUUCAUAUUACAUAAAAGUUAAGGUUUGGUACUAAAAUAAACUGGCGGUUCCAAAAGACUAAAUGUGGUUUAUUUCUUUUGGAUUUUUCUCUUCUUUUUGUCUAUAUUGCAAACAUGCAAACAGAAGCAGUUCUGAUAGUUGAAAGUUGUAAGAAUAACAUAAUGUGUCACAUAAAUAAGGGUUUCUGCAUGAAUUUAAAGUCUUAACAUUAAAAUAAAGCAUAUUAAGGUCUGAGAAGC